GUGGCUUAGGCUCAACAUAGCCAGCCUCUGGUGCAUCUCCAAAUCUUCUUUCUCCAUGUUGUGGUCGUCGGCCUUGUGGCUUAUUCCUUUUUCCCAACUGAGCAAUCUUAUCAUUGAGCUCUUGUAUAGCUAUUAGUUGUUGGCUCAGUGUGGCCUCUAGGGUUUGGCCGUGUGCUUCUCCUACCAUUGCUCCCUGAAAUCAAUCUCAAAGAUCAAGUGAAGUAUGGGAAGUUUUGGUCAAGCAUAAGAGCAAUGAACAAUGCAAAACUAAUUUAAACUAAACCGAGAAAAAUGCAAGUAUAAACCGAAAUGAAGUAACUAUGCAAUAAAUAAUUUUUCUUUUGGUUUUCUGAUGCAAUCACGAAAUGGACCAACUAAUAUGGCAUGAAACAAUAACUAGUAUGAUUAGUUUUUUUUUUUUUUUUAAGGAUAUGCAAACAAAGGAAACAAAUUCAAAAUGACAAUUUUUAUGGGAUUUUUGAUUAUGGAAACAAAACAAAAAGGAAACUAACAAGAAUUUCGAAACUAAGUGCAAGUAAUAUGAAUCAAACACAUCUUUCUUUUUCUUUUUCGUGGUUUAUAAGA
This 585-nucleotide long non-coding RNA is filed under the name Brassica rapa (field mustard). RNAcentral's name for it is "long non-coding RNA (BRAP_LNC008179)". The record is from RNAcentral. Lineage: Eukaryota; Viridiplantae; Streptophyta; Magnoliopsida; Brassicales; Brassicaceae.